GUAACGACUUCCCCGCUGUCUCAACCAUGAACUCGGCGAAAUUGCAUUACGAGUAAAGAUGCUCGUUACGCGCAGAAGGACGGAAAGACCCCGUGACCUUUACUAUAGUUUGGUAUUGGUAUUCGGUGUGACUUGUGUAGGAUAGGUGGGAGACUGUGAAGCGGGCACGCCAGUGUUCGUGGAGUCGCCGUUGAAAUACCACUCUGGUCACUCUGGAUAUCUAACUUCGGCCCGUGAUCCGGGUCAGGGACAGUGCCUGAUGGGUAGUUUAACUGGGGCGGUUGCCUCCUAAAAUGUAACGGAGGCGCCCAAAGGUUCCCUCAGCCUGGUUGGCAAUCAGGUGUCGAGUGCAAGUGCACAAGGGAGCUUGACUGUGAGAGUGGCAGCUCGAGCAGGGACGAAAGUCGGGACUAGUGAUCCGGCGGCUCGUUGUGGAACGGCCGUCGCUCAACGGAUAAAAGGUACCUCGGGGAUAACAG
RNAcentral lists this ribosomal RNA (479 nucleotides) under Francisella tularensis. RNAcentral describes it as "partial 23S ribosomal RNA". It matches the Rfam family "Bacterial large subunit ribosomal RNA", at positions 2001 to 2480 of the family's 2925-position model. Lineage: Bacteria; Pseudomonadati; Pseudomonadota; Gammaproteobacteria; Thiotrichales; Francisellaceae. The record is from RNAcentral.